RNAcentral lists this ribosomal RNA (465 nucleotides) under uncultured bacterium. Its description in RNAcentral is "partial 16S ribosomal RNA". It matches the Rfam family "Bacterial small subunit ribosomal RNA", at positions 28 to 507 of the family's 1533-position model. The record is from RNAcentral.
GACGAACGCUGGCGGCGUGCUUAACACAUGCAAGUCGAACGGAAAGGCCCUGCUUUCCGUGUUCUCGCGUGGCGAACGGGCGAGUAACACGCGGGUGAUUUGCCCUGCUCUUCGGGUUAAGUCUCUGCAACUGGGCCUAAUACCUGCCAUGACCUUCCUUGUAGCGCGGGGGUCGGUAAGAUUUAGCGGUGUGGGAUGGGCUUGUGGCCUAUCCGCUUGUUGGUGGGGUAAUGGCCUACCAAGGCGUCGACGGGUAGCCGGCAUGAGAGGGUGGACGGCCACAUUGGGACUGAGGUACGGACCAGACUGCAACGGGAGGCAGCAGUGGGGAGUAUUGCACAAUGGGCGGAAGCCUGAUGCAGCGACGCCGCGUGGGGGAUGACGGCCUUCGGGUUGUAAACCACUUUCGACAGGGACGAAGCUUCGGUGACGGUACCUGUAGAAGAAGCACCGGCUAACUACGUG